GUAUAAAAAUAAUUGCAGAGAAACAGGUGAAAAGCACUUGAUCCAAGGAGGUGAAGACAUAAUAAUCAACAAAUACAAGAAAAUAGACAAUGAUCCACUGCAACCUUGCCGUUUCUCUCCUUCUGCUAUCGCUUAGUGUCAGUGGCACCACAAACCGGUCGGAGCUGCAAUGUGCCCAUUCGAUCAGAGUGCCACGAAGCACAGUGUUUAGAGCUCGUGUUAUGACAAAGUUGAAGAUAAACUGUACUGUUACUCAACGCGAAGGAUGUCGCAGGAGCCCACAAGUCUCAUGGUGCAAAAUCUAUGAAAAUGACUGUAAAGCUUUAAAUCACUCAAAU
This is a non-coding RNA of Pimephales promelas (fathead minnow), 338 nucleotides long. The record is from RefSeq and is a predicted model, not a curated record. NCBI's taxonomy places the organism in Eukaryota, Metazoa, Chordata, Actinopteri, Cypriniformes, Leuciscidae.